UGAAGUGCCUGAAGUGCUGCCACCGAAGGAAGUGGUCCCAGAAAAGAAAGUACCGGUGCCUCCUGCCAAAAAGCCAGAAGCUCCACCUCCUAAAGUGCCUGAGGCUCCCAAAGAAGUUGUUCCUGAAAAGAAAGUGCCAGUGCCUCCUCCUAAAAAGCCUGAAGUGCCACCCACAAAAGUCCCAGAGGUGCCAAAGGCAGCUGUCCCAGAAAAGAAGGUGCCUGAAGCUAUUCCUCCCAAACCGGAAAGUCCUCCCCCUGAAGUGCCUGAAGUGCUGCCACCGAAGGAAGUGGUCCCAGAAAAGAAAGUACCGGUGCCUCCUGCCAAAAAGCCAGAAGCUCCACCUCCUAAAGUGCCUGAGGCUCCCAAAGAAGUUGUUCCUGAAAAGAAAGUGCCAGUGCCUCCUCCUAAAAAGCCUGAAGUGCCACCCACAAAAGUCCCAGAGGUGCCAAAGGCAGCUGUCCCAGAAAAGAAGGUGCCUGAAGCUAUUCCUCCCAAACCGGAAAGUCCUCCCCCUGAAGUGCCUGAAGUGCUGCCACCGAAGGAAGUGGUCCCAGAAAAGAAAGUACCGGUGCCUCCUGCCAAAAAGCCAGAAGCUCCACCUCCUAAAGUGCCAGAGGCUCCCAAAGAAGUUGUUCCUGAAAAGAAAGUGCCAGUGACUCCUCCUAAAAAACCUGAAGUCCCACCUGUUAAAGUGCCAGAGGCUCCCAUAGAGGUUGUUCCUGAAAAGAAAA
This 734-nucleotide long non-coding RNA is filed under the name Homo sapiens (human). Its description in RNAcentral is "HSALNT0044059". The record is from RNAcentral. Lineage: Eukaryota; Metazoa; Chordata; Mammalia; Primates; Hominidae.